This 500-nucleotide long non-coding RNA is filed under the name Malus domestica (apple). Its description in RNAcentral is "long non-coding RNA (MDOM_LNC014945)". Lineage: Eukaryota; Viridiplantae; Streptophyta; Magnoliopsida; Rosales; Rosaceae. The record is from RNAcentral.
CUACACUAAUCGAGAAAGGAAGGAACAAAGAAACCAAAGAAAAAGAAACAACCAAAAUACCCUAUUUCUUUUCUUUGACCCGGAAAAAAGUUCAAAAAAAAAAAAAAAAAAAGCCAAUUUUAUCUCAGCCAGAAACCCCAAAAAAUAAAUAAAAAAAUAAUCCCAGAAACCAAAAACCAAAAAAAUCAUUAUUAUUUAUAUAUUUUUUGUGUAGAAGGGAAGGUGGUGCUGGUGCCGUCCAGUUCUUCUCCCACCCAUCCCUCUAAGCAAACCUUCCCCCCCCCCCCCCCCCCCCCGCGUAUCCUCUCUCUCUCUCUCUUCUCUUCUCUUCCUGUCUAUGCAAUUUUCCCAAUCCAAAUCUCUCAAACACCCAUCCAGUUCUUCUCCCACCCAUCCCUCUAAGCAAACCUUCCCCCCCCCCGUAUCCUCUCUCUCUCUCUCUCUCUUCUCUUCCUGUCUCUGCAAAACCCAUCUUUCAAUUUUCCCAAUCCAAAUCUCUC